GGGCUAUUAUCUCAGUGGUAGAGCGCGCCCCUUAUAAUUGCGGGGCGAGGUCUCUGGUUCAAGUCCAAGGAUGGCCCA
Molecule: transfer RNA, 78 nt
Filed under: Solanum tuberosum (potato)
Lineage: Eukaryota; Viridiplantae; Streptophyta; Magnoliopsida; Solanales; Solanaceae
Description: tRNA-Ile
Rfam family: tRNA
About the family: Transfer RNA (tRNA) molecules are approximately 80 nucleotides in length. Their secondary structure includes four short double-helical elements and three loops (D, anti-codon, and T loops). Further hydrogen bonds mediate the characteristic L-shaped molecular structure. tRNAs have two regions of fundamental functional importance: the anti-codon, which is responsible for specific mRNA codon recognition, and the 3' end, to which the tRNAs corresponding amino acid is attached (by aminoacyl-tRNA synthetases). tRNAs cope with the degeneracy of the genetic code in two manners: having more than one tRNA (with a specific anti-codon) for a particular amino acid; and 'wobble' base-pairing, i.e. permitting non-standard base-pairing at the 3rd anti-codon position.
Source: RNAcentral